UGUAUUGGAACACUACAGCUC
RNAcentral lists this microRNA (21 nucleotides) under Chrysemys picta (Painted turtle). RNAcentral's name for it is "cpi-miR-1805-3p". RNAcentral also lists the same sequence under 1 other name. The record is from miRBase by way of RNAcentral. Lineage: Eukaryota; Metazoa; Chordata; Testudines; Emydidae.